Molecule: ribosomal RNA, 497 nt
Filed under: uncultured bacterium
Lineage: Bacteria
Description: partial 16S ribosomal RNA
Rfam family: Bacterial small subunit ribosomal RNA
Source: RNAcentral
GAUGAACGCUGGCGGCGUGCCUAAUACAUGCAAGUCGAGCGAACAGAUAAGGAGCUUGCUCCUUUGAAGUUAGCGGCGGACGGGUGAGUAACACGUGGGUAACCUACCUAUAAGACUGGGAUAACUUCGGGAAACCGGAGCUAAUACCGGAUAACAUUUAGAACCGCAUGGUUCUAAAGAGAAAGAUGGUUUUGCUAUCACUUAUAGAUGGACCCGCGCUGUAUUAGCUAGUUGGUAAGGUAACGGCUUACCAAGGCGACGAUACGUAGCCGACCUGAGAGGGUGAUCGGCCACACUGGAACUGAGACACGGUCCAGACUCCUACGGGAGGCAGCAGUAGGGAAUCUUCCGCAAUGGGCGAAAGCCUGACGGAGCAACGCCGCGUGAGUGAUGAAGGGUUUCGGCUCGUAAAACUCUGUUAUUAGGGAAGAACAAAUGUGUAAGUAACUGUGCACAUCUUGACGGUACCUAAUCAGAAAGCCACGGCUAACUACGUG